UCGGGAAUUUUGGGCAAUGGGCGAAAGCCUGACCCAGCAACGCCGCGUGAAGGAUGAAGUCUCUCGGGAUGUAAACUUCGUAAGAAUAGGAAGAAUAAAUGACGGUACUAUUUGUAAGGUCCGGCUAACUACGUGCCAGCAGCCGCGGUAAUACGUAGGGACCAAGCGUUGUUCGGAUUUACUGGGCGUAAAGGGCGCGUAGGCGGCGUGGUAAGUCACUUGUGAAAUCUCCGAGCUUAACUCGGAACGGUCAAGUGAUACUGCUGUGCUAGAGUACAGAAGGGGCAAUCGGAAUUCUUGGUGUAGCGGUGAAAUGCGUAGAUAUCAAGAGGAACACCUGAGGUGAAGACGGGUUGCUAGGCUGAUACUGACGCUGAGGCGCGAAAGCUAGGGUAG
RNAcentral lists this ribosomal RNA (396 nucleotides) under uncultured bacterium. RNAcentral's name for it is "bacterial SSU rRNA". It matches the Rfam family "Bacterial small subunit ribosomal RNA", at positions 355 to 768 of the family's 1533-position model. The record is from RNAcentral.